GUUAAUUUGAAGCAUUUGCAUUUUUCUUGAUAAGCUUUUUUUCUAUUUCACAUUACUUUCUGCUUAUUCUACAUUUCAGAGACAAAAGAGGAUGGUGACAUCUGCCUGUGAAAAGCUGCUGUAACACUCAAAGCUAUCACUCAGAGGAAAUGGCAAACACCCCUAUUUUCUAUUCAUAGCGGUUAUCAGAGAGUCUUUAUGUUCAAAGUUCCUGUCUGUUUCAUUUUUAUUAUGCAAGACAGUGCAGGAGAACGAUCUUAAAGGAGCAUUAAGUAAUUUGGCUAGUGGUUGUCACAGGUGCUACUUCCGUCCACAUCAGUCCUCCUAAGGGACUCUGGAGUUGGGUUUUAGCUUGAGACACCACCCAUCGGGGAAACAUACCUGUCUGUAAACCCUAACAUCCCCAUAAUGCAUCAGCCAGAUGGAUCUGGUAUGUAACUAAAUAAAUGUAAUCUAAAUGA
Micropterus dolomieu (smallmouth bass) is the source of this 461-nucleotide long non-coding RNA. RefSeq lists it as uncharacterized. Lineage: Eukaryota; Metazoa; Chordata; Actinopteri; Centrarchiformes; Centrarchidae. The transcript has 2 exons. The record is from RefSeq and is a predicted model, not a curated record.